AAAAACAGCUUGGAUGAGCUGAGGGUAGGGGUGAAAGGCUAAUCAAAUUCCGUGAUAGCUCGUUCUUUCCGAAAUAGCUUUAGGGCUAGCCUCGUGUGUUCCGUCUCAGCGGUAGAGAACUGAUUGGACUAGGGGCCUUCCCUGGUUACCGAAUCCAACCAAACUGCGAAUGCCGGGAACGUACAGCACGGGAGUCAGACUGUGGGGGCUAAGCUUCAUAGUCGAGAGGGAAACAGCCCAGACCAUCAACUAAGGUCCCAAAAUUCAUGCUCAGUGGGAAAGGAAGUCGGGAGACUCAGACAGCCAGGAGGUUGGCUUAGAAGCAGCCAUCCUUUAAAGAAAGCGUAAUAGCUCACUGGUCGAGUCGCCCGGUGCCGACAAUAUAACGGGGCUCAAGCAUGAUACCGAAGUUAUGGGUGUACGCAAGUACACGGUAGGAAAGCAUUCUGAAUCCAUUGAAGGUUGAGCGUAAGCACAGCUGGAGGAUUCGGAAGAGACUCUGCCAGCAUAAGUAGCGAAAAACCAGGUGAGAACCCUGGUCGCCGUAAGUCUAAGGAUUCCUGAGAAAGGUUAAUCCGCUCAGGGUUAGUCGGUGCCUAAGGUGAGGCCGAAAGGCGUAGCCGAUGGACAGUAGGUUAAUAUUCCUACACUACCGAAACUCGAUCAAGACCGAAGGGGGGACGCAGACCGUAAGCCGCCGGCGUAAUGGUUUUAACCGGAUGGUGAAGGGAGAUCUGGAUAGGCAAAUCCGCCAGAUCGUCUGCCAGGAAAAGCCUCUAAGGAGAGUUAGGUAACCGUACCACAAACCGACACAGGUGGACGAGAUGAAUAUUCUAAGGCGCUCGGGUGAUGGUAUGUUCAGGAACUAGGCACAUUAGCUCCGUAACUUCGGGAGAAGGAGUGCCCACGCAAGUGGGUCGCAGUGAAGAGUCUCAGGCGACUGUUUAACAAAAACACAGGUCUCUGCUAAGUCGAAAACGACGUAUAGGGGCUGACGCCUGCCCGGUGCCGGAAGGUUAAAGGGAGAGGUUAGCGCAAGCGAAGCUUUGAACUGAAGCCCUGGUGAACGGCGGCCGUAACAAUAACGGUCCUAAGGUAGCAAAAUUCCUUGUCGGGUAAGUUCCGACCUGCACGAAUGGCGUAACGAUCUGAGAACUGUCUUAACAUGCCGCCCGGCGAACUUGUGGUCCCGGUGAAGACGCCGGGUGCCCGCCACUAGACGAAAAGACCCCGUGCACCUUUACUAUACUUUUUCAUUGAUUUAUGGGGCCAUCUGCGCAGAAUAGGUGGGAGGCUUUGAUUCCCGGUUUUCGGACUUGGAGGAGCCAAAAUGUGAGAUACCACCCUGAUGGUUCUGUGAAUCUAACCUACUUCCGUAAUCCGGAAGAGGGACAAUGGAAGACGGGUAGUUUGACUGGGGCGGUCGCCUCCUAAAUUGUAACGGAGGCGCGCGAAGCUAGGUUCAGGCUGUUUGUAA
Molecule: ribosomal RNA, 1477 nt
Filed under: metagenome
Description: bacterial LSU rRNA
Rfam family: Bacterial large subunit ribosomal RNA
Source: RNAcentral